Molecule: long non-coding RNA, 1411 nt
Filed under: Fragaria vesca (wild strawberry)
Lineage: Eukaryota; Viridiplantae; Streptophyta; Magnoliopsida; Rosales; Rosaceae
Description: long non-coding RNA (FVES_LNC001130)
Source: RNAcentral
AUACCUUAGGUUAAGAUAAACAAAGAACCUUGGAUCACUUUCAACAGUUACAUAAGGUAGCUCAAAUGGUAGAGCGCUCGCUUUGCAUGAGAGAGGCACAGGGUUUGAUCCUCUGCAUCUCCAAUUAACUUUUGCUUAUUUUUGUACUCCUCCCAUGUAAUAUACUCAAUAAUUUCCGCAGUGGUCAGUCAAACUAUAUCAGUGAUUGGGAGUUGUUACCAGUUCUAACAACAAACACAUCAAAGACAUCUUUUUCAAUCUUAUUAACUGCCCAAGUGCUUACUUUAAUAAUGCUGCUAUUGCCAAAUUUGGUUGGAAAAUUAUUAAGGAACUAGAAAAUUGGUGGGCUCAGAUUAUGAGGAAAAAAUAUUGGGAAAAUGCCCUAAUUCCCAAAUAUUUGAAAACUAAAGCCCAUUCCAAUGAUAAUAAGAUUCUUGACCCCAAUUAAAUGAAAAAGAGACUUAUUUGUGCCUAAAUACAAAAAUCUUUAUUAAAUUCAUAAUAAAAUAAUAUUUUAAAGACAUUUUUACCCUUGAUCUUUAUAUAUAUGCUUAGAGAGAGAAAGUGUAAGAGAGAGCGAGAGAAAAGACUUUGUCGGCAGCUCAUCGGAUCUCUGGACACCGGUCGUCAGACUCCAGACUCUGGUCACCGGACUCAGUUACUGACCCUCAGUAACUCGGUUACUCCGGCGACCGAUCGCCGAAACUCGGUUACUGACCCCCAGUAACUCGGUUACUGACCCUAGAAAUUUAGUUACUGACCGAAUAAACUUAGUUACUGACCCCCAGUAACUUGGUUACUCCGACGACCGAUCGUCGGAACUCAGUUACUGACCCAAAAAACUCAGUUAUGGACCUCAGAAAUUCAGUUAUUGACAAAAAAAAACUCAGUUACUGACCCCCAGUAACUCAGUUACUCCGGCGACCGAUCACCGGAACUUAGUUUCUGACCCCAAAAACUCGGUUACUGACCCCAAAAAUUCAGUUACUGACCUAAAAAAUUUAGUUACUAAGCCCCAAUAAUCGGUUACUGACCCCCAGUAAUCCCCAGUAACUCGAUUAGUGACCCCAGUAAACCCCCGUAACUCAGUUACUGAUCCCCAGUAAUCAACUUAUUGGCUCUAAAUGUUGUAGAAACUCGGUUUCUAACCCUUAAAAACUAACUUUCAGACCCUAGAAACCCCGUUACCGCCCCCCAAAUGCAUAAAAGCCCACCAACAAACAUCAUACUUCCAUUUCAUCUUCAUUGUUGCCGACAUUCAAUAUUCAACAUAAUAUAACUACCACAAUAAUGAUUCUUCUCAGUAAUACAAGAAAAAAAAUGUCACAGUAACCAAUACUAACCAAUACAUUCAACAUUCAACAAGUAAAAUACACAAAUCCAACCAAAAUUCCCAAUAACAGAAAAANNN